This is an RNA transcript of Fragaria vesca subsp. vesca, 790 nucleotides long. RefSeq lists it as uncharacterized. The transcript is spliced from 4 exons. Lineage: Eukaryota; Viridiplantae; Streptophyta; Magnoliopsida; Rosales; Rosaceae. The record is from RefSeq and is a predicted model, not a curated record.
AGGGAAUAUAUUAUUAUUAUUUUUCCAACUCAAACUUGACAAGGCUCUCCUCUCUCUCCUCUCACUCUCCUUCCCAUGCUCCCACUGUCCCACACUUGUAUCUUAUCUAAUUCUUUUCUUAUCUCUCUCCUUCACCUAGGUUCGUCCGCUUCUCUCUCUCUCUUUCUUCUCUUUCUCUCUCUGUGUGCAAGACCAAAGCUCCGACCGCCUCCGACUUUUGAUUUCGAGCCAACGACCGCCUUUGACAUCACUUUCGUUUGACUUGAAGAAGAAGAUGAAGCUUUGAGAUUUGGGGCCCAGACUCUUCAUCGUCAACACCCACCCACUCUGGAUUUGGGAUCUUGUUCAGCCUCAGCUAUAGUGAAGAAGCCCCAGCUCAUUCUCCACCAGUGAUAGUGCUGCUAAUUAAAUAGAUCCAGGAAUUGCUUACAUCGGUGAUUGUGAUUUUUGGAUUCGACCCAGAAGAGAUUAGUACCUUGAAAUAACUUGGUGCAAAGAAUGGGAGCUAAUCCUUGACCUGAUUCUCUCAGAUACGCAUAAGUCGCAAUAUAAAAACCUUCAACUGAAGGAACUCUCUUGGCAAUAAUGGCAUAAUCAAAACGAAAGCUUUUUUUGAAGAAGAUAGAAAGCUAGCAAGAGAGAUGAAAUGAAUUUAUCGUAUAUGUAUAUAUUGGUUCUUUUCAUGAAUUUGAUCUUAAGGGAAAUUCUAUGGUACCUACCCGUAUGUGAUACCUAUAUUUACAAAUGUGACAACAUAUUUAUAAUCAAAGUGGUAAUACUGAGUCGUAUU